GAUCAUGGCUCAGGAUGAACGCUAGCGACAGGCCUAACACAUGCAAGUCGAGGGGCAGCGGGAGGUAGCAAUACCUUUGCCGGCGACCGGCGCACGGGUGAGUAACACGUAUGCAAUCCACCUGUAACAGGGGGAUAACCCGGAGAAAUCCGGACUAAUACCCCAUAAUAUGGGCGCUCCGCAUGGAGAGCCCAUUAAAGAGAAGCAAUUUUGGUUACAGACGAGCAUGCGCUCCAUUA
This 239-nucleotide ribosomal RNA is filed under the name uncultured bacterium. Its description in RNAcentral is "partial 16S ribosomal RNA". It matches the Rfam family "Bacterial small subunit ribosomal RNA", at positions 15 to 243 of the family's 1533-position model. The record is from RNAcentral.